GAGUGAUGAUAGAGGGAUGUGAAAGAGGAGAGAGGUAAUGGUUGGACUCUCCCAUGGAGUGAUGAUAGAGGGAUGUGAAAGAGGAGAGAGGUAAUGGUUGUACUCCCCCAUGGAGUGAUGAUAGAGGGAUGUGAAAGAGGAGAGAGGUAAUGGUUGGACUCUCCCAUGGAGUGAUGAUAGAGGGAUGUGAAAGAGGAGAGAGGUAAUGGUUGUACUCCCCCAUGGAGUGAUGAUAGAGGGAUGUGAAAGAGGAGAGAGGUAAUGGUUGGACUCUCCCAUGGAGUGAUGAUAGAGGGAUGUGAAAGAGGAGAGAGGUAAUGGUUGUACUCCCCCAUAGAGUGAUGAUAGAGGGAUGUGAAAGAGGAGAGAGGUAAUGGUUGUACUCCCCCAUAGAGUGAUGAUAGAGGGAUGUGAAAGAGGAGAGAGGUAAUGGUUGGACUCUCCCAUGGAGUGAUGAUAGAGGGAUGUGAAAGAGGAGAGAGGUAAUGGUUGUACUCCCCCAUAGAGUGAUGAUAGAGGGAUGUGAAAGAGGAGAGAGGUAAUGGUUGGACUCUCCCAUGGAGUGAUGAUAGAGGGAUGUGAAAGAGGAGAGAGGUAAUGGUUGUACUCCCCCAUAGAGUGAUGAUAGAGGGAUGUGAAAGAGGAGAGAGGUAAUGGUUGUACUCCCCCAUAGAGUGAUGAUAGAGGGAUGUGAAAGAGGAGAGAGGUAAUGGUUGUACUCCCCCAUGGAGUGAUGAUAGAGGGAUGUGAAAGAGGAGAGAGGUAAUGGUUGUACUCCCCCAUGGAGUGAUGAUAGAGGGAUGUGAAAGAGGAGAGAGGUAAUGGUUGGACUCUCCCAUGGAGUGAUGAUAGAGGGAUGUGAAAGAGGAGAGAGGUAAUGGUUGUACUCCCCCAUGGAGUGAUGAUAGAGGGAUGUGAAAGAGGAGAGAGGUAAUGGUUGUACUCCCCCAUAGAGUGAUGAUAGAGGGAUGUGAAAGAGGAGAGAGGUAAUGGUUGUACUCCCCCAUGGAGUGAUGAUAGAGGGAUGUGAAAGAGGAGAGAGGUAAUGGUUGUACUCCCCCAUAGAGUGAUGAUAGAGGGAUGUGAAAGAGGAGAGAGGUAAUGGUUGUACUCCCCCAUGGAGUGAUGAUAGAGGGAUGUGAAAGAGGAGAGAGGUAAUGGUUGUACUCCCCCAUGGAGUGAUGAUAGAGGGAUG
Long non-coding RNA from Oncorhynchus keta (chum salmon), 1195 nucleotides. RefSeq lists it as uncharacterized. The transcript has 10 exons. The record is from RefSeq and is a predicted model, not a curated record. NCBI's taxonomy places the organism in Eukaryota, Metazoa, Chordata, Actinopteri, Salmoniformes, Salmonidae.